UGGGGAAUAUUCCGCAAUGGACGAAAGUCUGACGGAGCAACGCCGCGUGAGUGAUGAAGGUUUUCGGACUGUAAAGCUCUGUUGUUUAGGACGAAAGUGCCUGUUGCAAAUAGUUACAGGUAUUGACGGUACUGAACGAGGAAGCCACGGCUAACUACGUGCCAGCAGCCGCGGUAAUACGUAGGUGGCAAGCGUUGUCCGGAAUUAUUGGGCGUAAAGAGCAUGUAGGCGGGAAUCUAAGUCUGUUGUGAAAAUGCGGGGCUCAACCCCGUAUUGCGUUGGAAAUUGGUUUCCUUAGGUGAAGGAGAGGAAAGGGGAAUUCCCAGUGUAGCGGUGAAAUGCGUAGAUAUUGGGAGGAACACCAGUGGCGAAGGCGCCUUUCUGGACUGUGUCUGACGCUGAGAUGCGAAAGCCAGGGUAGCCAACGG
Molecule: ribosomal RNA, 428 nt
Filed under: uncultured bacterium
Lineage: Bacteria
Description: bacterial SSU rRNA
Rfam family: Bacterial small subunit ribosomal RNA
Source: RNAcentral